CUUCCAUUUGUAUGUUGACAUUCAUACAUAUGUUUACAUUUGUGUUUACUGAGCUAUUGGUGCAAAUGGAGCAUUUAUUCACGACUAUUUAUUGUGGCUGUAUCAUUGCAAGACCAUGGUGAAUCAUACAAAGCACCGGUUCGACUCGCUGCUUAUCUAAAAGACGAACAAAGGUCCACAAGAAAUGGCAAUAAUUUUAGCUGGUUGUGGUUUAUAUACUGCUGCGUUGAAGCUACUUACUGGUUUUGGAUUUUCAUCUCUUCCCAUAGGGAUACGACGCAUUACCAAGGAAAGCGCCAAUGAAGCAUGAGCGUGGUCACAAGGAAAUGAAAUGGCUGGAGAGAAAAAGUAAUUUCUAUACAAACAUUUUCUUUGCUAUAGGAUUUUUUCUAUAAUUUAGAUUUGCCUCAUCGCAGUAAAGCAACCAAUAUAGCCCGGUCACUGUUGCAAAAACUCAUUUAUGAUUAUGAGUUAGGAAAUCCUACUAGCGUACGUAUGUACAUAAAUAUAUAGCAAACAAGAUGCUAAGUCUCAACGCUUUUAUGCCGCAAUGGCUAUAUAAUGACUACAAGUUGGCGAAUUGUCCAAAGGUAUUACCACAUGCGCUGUUGGAAGCUAGAAGCGAAUAUUUUAGUUUUAAACAUACAAUUGCGAUUUUAAACCAAGAAAUUUCGUCUGCCAAGAAAUACAUUAGAUAUUUUGUUGCAUGGAUUGAAAUUGAAUGCUAAUUCAGAUAUUUUGAGAGAAAGAUUUUGCGUAAGAUUUUUGGACCUUUGCACGUUGGCAACGACGAAUAUCGCAGGCGAUGGAACGAUGAGCUUUACGACGGCAUAGACAUAGCGCAGCGAAUACGUUGGUUGGGUCAUGUCGUCCGAAUGGAUACAAACGCCCCGGCUCUGAAAGUAUUCUAUGCGGUACCAGCUGGUGGUAGUAGAGGAAGGCCUCCUCUACGUUGGAAAGAUCAGGUGGAGAAGGACUUGGCUUCACUUGGUGUGUCCAAUUGGCGCUGGUUAGCAAGAGAAAGAAACGACUGGCGCGCUUUGUUAAACUCGGCCAAAAUCGCGUAAGCGCCAAUUAAGAAGAAGAAGAAUUUAUUUUUGAAUCAAUUUUUCAAAGUUCGACAACUUCUGUUCUAAAUACAGGCUAUUAAC
Long non-coding RNA from Anastrepha ludens (Mexican fruit fly), 1151 nucleotides. RefSeq lists it as uncharacterized. The transcript has 3 exons. NCBI's taxonomy places the organism in Eukaryota, Metazoa, Arthropoda, Insecta, Diptera, Tephritidae. The record is from RefSeq and is a predicted model, not a curated record.